RNAcentral lists this ribosomal RNA (484 nucleotides) under uncultured bacterium. RNAcentral's name for it is "partial 16S ribosomal RNA". It matches the Rfam family "Bacterial small subunit ribosomal RNA", at positions 30 to 507 of the family's 1533-position model. The record is from RNAcentral.
AUUGAACGCUGGCGGCAGGCCUAACACAUGCAAGUCGAGCGGAUGAAGGGAGCUUGCUCCUGGAUUCAGCGGCGGACGGGUGAGUAAUGCCUAGGAAUCUGCCUGGUAGUGGGGGAUAACGUCCGGAAACGGGCGCUAAUACCGCAUACGUCCUGAGGGAGAAAGUGGGGGAUCUUCGGACCUCACGCUAUCAGAUGAGCCUAGGUCGGAUUAGCUAGUUGGUGGGGUAAAGGCCUACCAAGGCGACGAUCCGUAACUGGUCUGAGAGGAUGAUCAGUCACACUGGAACUGAGACACGGUCUAGACUCCUACGGGAGGCAGCAGUGGGGAAUAUUGGACAAUGGGCGAAAGCCUGAUCCAGCCAUGCCGCGUGUGUGAAGAAGGUCUUCGGAUUUUAAAGCACUUUAAGUUGGGAGGAAGGGCAGUAAGUUAAUACCUUGCUGUUUUGACGUUACCAACAGAAUAAGCACCGGCUAACUUCGUG